UUUCAAAUUUUGAAUCGAACU
Molecule: non-coding RNA, 21 nt
Filed under: Caenorhabditis elegans
Lineage: Eukaryota; Metazoa; Nematoda; Chromadorea; Rhabditida; Rhabditidae
Source: RNAcentral